RNAcentral lists this transfer RNA (71 nucleotides) under Marmota monax (woodchuck). RNAcentral describes it as "tRNA.Ala". It matches the Rfam family "tRNA". From Rfam's summary of the family: Transfer RNA (tRNA) molecules are approximately 80 nucleotides in length. Their secondary structure includes four short double-helical elements and three loops (D, anti-codon, and T loops). Lineage: Eukaryota; Metazoa; Chordata; Mammalia; Rodentia; Sciuridae. The record is from RNAcentral.
GGGGUUGUGGCUCAGUGGUAGAGUGCUCAUUUCGCACGUGAGAGACCCUGGGUUCGAUCCUCAGCACCACA